CUUGCUUCUCUUGAGAGCGGCGGACGGGUGAGUAAUGCCUAGGAAUCUGCCUGGUAGUGGGGGAUAACGUCCGGAAACGGACGCUAAUACCGCAUACGUCCUACGGGAGAAAGCAGGGGACCUUCGGGCCUUGCGCUAUCAGAUGAGCCUAGGUCGGAUUAGCUAGUUGGUGGGGUAAUGGCUCACCAAGGCGACGAUCCGUAACUGGUCUGAGAGGAUGAUCAGUCACACUGGAACUGAGACACGGUCCAGACUCCUACGGGAGGCAGCAGUGGGGAAUAUUGGACAAUGGGCGAAAGCCUGAUCCAGCCAUGCCGCGUGUGUGAAGAAGGUCUUCGGAUUGUAAAGCACUUUAAGUUGGGAGGAAGGGCAGUAAAUUAAUACUUUGCUGUUUUGACGUUACCGACAGAAUAAGCACCGGCUAACUCUGUGCCAGCAGCCGCGGUAAUACAGAGGGUGCAAGCGUUAAUCGGAAUUACUGGGCGUAAAGCGCGCGUAGGUGGUUCGUUAAGUUGGAUGUGAAAUCCCCGGGCUCAACCUGGGAACUGCAUUCAAAACUGACGAGCUAGAGUAUGGUAGAGGGUGGUGGAAUUUCCUGUGUAGCGGUGAAAUGCGUAGAUAUAGGAAGGAACACCAGUGGCGAAGCGACCACCUGGACUGAUACUGACACUGAGUGCGAAAGCGUGGGGAGCAAACAGGAUUAGAUACCCUGGUAGUCCACGCCGUAAACGAUGUCAACUAGCCGUUGGGAGCCUUGAGCUCUUAGUGGCGCAGCUAACGCAUUAGUUGACCGCCUGGG
RNAcentral lists this ribosomal RNA (799 nucleotides) under uncultured bacterium. RNAcentral's name for it is "bacterial SSU rRNA". It matches the Rfam family "Bacterial small subunit ribosomal RNA", at positions 79 to 877 of the family's 1533-position model. The record is from RNAcentral.